GACAGAGGGUGCAAACGUUGUUCGGAAUCACUGGGCGUAAAGCGCGUGUAGGCUGCUAUGCAAGUCGGGCGUGAAAUCCCACGGCUCAACCAUGGAAGUGCACUCGAAACUGCAUAGCUGGAGUCCUGGAGAGGAAGGUGGAAUGCUCGGUGUAGAGGUGAAAUUCGUAGAUAUCGAGCGGAACACCGGUGGCGAAGGCGGCCUUCUGGACAGUGACUGACGCUGAAACGCGAAAGCGUGGGGAGCAAACAGG
This 253-nucleotide ribosomal RNA is filed under the name uncultured bacterium. RNAcentral's name for it is "partial 16S ribosomal RNA". It matches the Rfam family "Bacterial small subunit ribosomal RNA", at positions 524 to 776 of the family's 1533-position model. The record is from RNAcentral.